AUUUAUAUAGUUUAAAAAAACAUUACAUAUUCAUUGUAAAAAUAAAAAAAAAUUUUUUAUAAAUA
RNAcentral lists this transfer RNA (65 nucleotides) under Dichomeris ustalella. RNAcentral describes it as "tRNA-Glu". Lineage: Eukaryota; Metazoa; Arthropoda; Insecta; Lepidoptera; Gelechiidae. The record is from RNAcentral.